UGAGGAAUAUUGGUCAAUGGACGAGAGUCUGAACCAGCCAAGUAGCGUGAAGGAUGAAGGUUCUAUGGAUUGUAAACUUCUUUUAUACGGGAAUAAACGAAUCCACGCGUGGAUUUUUGCAUGUACCGUAUGAAUAAGGAUCGGCUAACUCCGUGCCAGCAGCCGCGGUAAUACGGAGGAUCCGAGCGUUAUCCGGAUUUAUUGGGUUUAAAGGGAGCGUAGAUGGGUUGUUAAGUCAGUUGUGAAAGUUUGCGGCUCAACCGUAAAAUUGCAAUUGAUACUGGCAGUCUUGAGUACAGUUGAGGUAGGCGGAAUUCGUGGUGUAGCGGUGAAAUGCUUAGAUAUCACGAAGAACUCCGAUUGCGAAGGCAGCUUACUAACCUGUAACUGACAUUGAUGCUCGAAAGUGUGGGUAUCAAACAGGAUUAGAUACCCUGGUAGUCCACACGGUAAACGAUGAAUACUCGCUGUAGGCGAUAUACAGUCUGCGGCCAAGCGAAAGCAUUAAGUAUUCCACCUGGGGAGUACGCCGGCAACGGUGAAACUCAAAGGAAUUGACGGGGGCCCGCACAAGCGGAGGAACAUGUGGUUUAAUUCGAUGAUACGCGAGGAACCUUACCCGGGCUUAAAUUGCAACCGAAUAUGGCGGAAACGCUAUAGCUAGCAAUAGCGGUUGUGAAGGUGCUGCAUGGUUGUCGUCAGCUCGUGCCGUGAGGUGUCGGCUUAAGUGCCAUAACGAGCGCAACCCUUGCCGAUAGUUACUAACAGGUUAUGCUGAGGACUCUGUCGGGACUGCCAUCGUAAGAUGUGAGGAAGGUGGGGAUGACGUCAAAUCAGCACGGCCCUUACGUCCGGGGCUACACACGUGUUACAAUGGGGGGUACAGAGGGCUGCUACCACGCAAGUGGAUGCCAAUCCCAAAAACCUCUCUCAGUUCGGAUUGAAGUCUGCAACCCGACUUCAUGAAGCUGGAUUCGCUAGUAAUCGCGCAUCAGCCACGGCGCGGUGAAUACGUUCCC
Molecule: ribosomal RNA, 1019 nt
Filed under: uncultured bacterium
Lineage: Bacteria
Also listed under: 1 other name
Description: bacterial SSU rRNA
Rfam family: Bacterial small subunit ribosomal RNA
Source: RNAcentral